RNAcentral lists this ribosomal RNA (455 nucleotides) under Salmonella enterica subsp. enterica. Its description in RNAcentral is "partial 23S ribosomal RNA". It matches the Rfam family "Bacterial large subunit ribosomal RNA", at positions 140 to 631 of the family's 2925-position model. Lineage: Bacteria; Pseudomonadati; Pseudomonadota; Gammaproteobacteria; Enterobacterales; Enterobacteriaceae. The record is from RNAcentral.
UCGUCACACUAUCAUUAACUGAAUCCAUAGGUUAAUGAGGCGAACCGGGGGAACUGAAACAUCUAAGUACCCCGAGGAAAAGAAAUCAACCGAGAUUCCCCCAGUAGCGGCGAGCGAACGGGGAGGAGCCCAGAGCCUGAAUCAGCAUGUGUGUUAGUGGAAGCGUCUGGAAAGGCGCGCGAUACAGGGUGACAGCCCCGUACACAAAAGCGCAUGUGUUGUGAGCUCGAUGAGUAGGGCGGGACACGUGGUAUCCUGUCUGAAUAUGGGGGGACCAUCCUCCAAGGCUAAAUACUCCUGACUGACCGAUAGUGAACCAGUACCGUGAGGGAAAGGCGAAAAGAACCCCGGCGAGGGGAGUGAAAAAGAACCUGAAACCGUGUACGUACAAGCAGUGGGAGCACAGGUUUACCUGUGUGACUGCGUACCUUUUGUAUAAUGGGUCAGCGACUUAU